RNAcentral lists this long non-coding RNA (1092 nucleotides) under Olea europaea subsp. europaea. Lineage: Eukaryota; Viridiplantae; Streptophyta; Magnoliopsida; Lamiales; Oleaceae. The record is from RNAcentral.
UGAAUUUCUUUGACAUCAUAACCUGAGAAAUAAUAAAACUUCAAACAAUUUUGUGGGGGUAAAAUACAUGGUUCGAAAUGAUUUCUUAAUAACAAUAAUAAUUACCAAAAGUUCAAAAUAUUAAUUUAGAAUAUAACUAGAAUAUUUAGUCUGGGAUAGUACUGAGCCCAUCUCAACUCAAGUAGUCACAUCGAAUGCAUCACCUAGCUCUCAUCAUCUGAAAUAUAGGAAGGGAUAAUGUGGAAUGAGCUAGUGUUUAGUAAGCAAACCUUAUACAUAUGAUGCACGUUUAUAAUAUUCAUAUGAUUUACUUUAAAAUAAAAUAAAAAACAUUCCUCGACAUAUAUCCCUCUUUUCUUUCAUUUCUUUAACAAUCUUAACAUUGACAUAUUAAGCUUACUUGCUGUUUCGUCUAGCCAAUCAGAAUGUAGUGGGACAUGUUAUUUGAAACCUGAUCAAAUCUAUCGAUAGAACCACAAAGUGGUUAAUAUUAACAUUAGCAUUGAACAUUCAUCGUUGAAUAUUGAUUGGGUGUGAUGGUCCCUCGUGCCCUUAUUUCUUAUUCACACCUUCAUGGCAUAGACAUACCCCAUAAUAAAAAUAUUUGAGUAUUCUUUUUAAAAACAUUCAUUUUCACAAUGAUGUUUAAAAACUCUUAAUUUCAUGCAUGCCUUAUGGAUGAAUUGAUAUGCAUGAAUGAUCAUUAAAAGCAUUUAUGACAUAGAAUAUAAUGAUCACUUAUUAAUUUCAUUUUAAUCUCACAUAAUACUGAUCUAGAUAACACAAAUCACGUAUCAACAUUAUACAAGGCCGCAACAUCAUGGGAGGAAGUAUAUUGGCGAGCACCUCCUACCCAAAUUGAUUUGUGACGUCUUUAGCACUAAGAUCAUAAACAAAAAAAUAACUCAAGUUACCAAUAAAUUAUUUUGUCUAUAAGUUACAGAAAAACUAAAAAUUAAAGAAACAAUCGUCUUGACACCAAUAGCUUCUCCGAGAUGAAUUGAUUGUCAUCAAAACCAUUGACAAUUAGACCAUUUUCUUGCUGCUACUACUGCUACUGCUACUGCUACUGCUACUAUUACUAUUAUUAUU